This 360-nucleotide ribosomal RNA is filed under the name Triticum aestivum (bread wheat). RNAcentral describes it as "partial small subunit ribosomal RNA". Lineage: Eukaryota; Viridiplantae; Streptophyta; Magnoliopsida; Poales; Poaceae. The record is from RNAcentral.
AUGGCACGUACUGAAGAUUACUCCAUCAUCCUAACAGAGUCCCGGAGCUACUGUCGAAACCCAGUGCAAUUGGCUUCGGGAAGAAUCUCUCCGCACCACGCCAAUGGGCACCGUGAAAAGUCUCCGCCGAUUAAGGUUCUCGUUGACAAAGAAGCUUCCCCCCUACUAAGGUCCUUAUCCGCCUUUGAUGAAGCAGUCGUGGUUCUUGUAGACGAUGAAGCAGCGGCUCGCUUUGUCGCUGCCAAAGGACAUGUCCCUCCUGCACACUUGGUUGCCGCAGUACUUCUGGCUCUCUCUCUCACCAUGGGAGUGCUUAAGACAAGAACGCUGGACUCUUGGUCUCAUUCGCGAGUGCUAUGA